UGGCUCAGUUGGUAGAGCAUGGUGUUUGCAACACCAGGGUUGUGGGUUCAAUCCCAC
This 57-nucleotide transfer RNA is filed under the name Salmo salar (Atlantic salmon). It matches the Rfam family "tRNA", at positions 8 to 63 of the family's 71-position model. Rfam says of the family: Transfer RNA (tRNA) molecules are approximately 80 nucleotides in length. Their secondary structure includes four short double-helical elements and three loops (D, anti-codon, and T loops). The record is from Rfam by way of RNAcentral. Lineage: Eukaryota; Metazoa; Chordata; Actinopteri; Salmoniformes; Salmonidae.